GGGCGCUUAGCUCAGUUGGUUAGAGCGACUGGUUUACACCCAGUAGGUCAAAGGUUCGACUCCUUUAGCGCCCACCA
This 77-nucleotide transfer RNA is filed under the name Candidatus Peregrinibacteria bacterium CG2_30_44_17. RNAcentral describes it as "tRNA-Val". It matches the Rfam family "tRNA". Rfam says of the family: Transfer RNA (tRNA) molecules are approximately 80 nucleotides in length. Their secondary structure includes four short double-helical elements and three loops (D, anti-codon, and T loops). The record is from RNAcentral. Lineage: Bacteria; Candidatus Peregrinibacteriota. RNAcentral also lists the same sequence under 5 other names.